ACGGCGAGUGAAGCGGCAAGAGCUCAACUUUGGAAUCGCUCCGGCGAGUUGUAGUCUGGAGGUGGCCACCACGAGGUGUUCUAGCAGCAGGCAAGUCCUUUGGAACAAGGCGCCAGCGAGGGUGACAGCCCCGUACCUGCUUUUGCUAGUGCUUCCUGUGGCCCACCGACGAGUCGAGUUGUUUGGGAAUGCAGCUCUAAGUGGGUGGUAAAUUCCAUCUAAGGCUAAAUAUUGGCGAGAGACCGAUAGCGAACAAGUACAGUGAUGGAAAGAUGAAAAGCACUUUGAAAAGAGAGUGAAACAGUACGUGAAAUUGUUGAAAGGGAAGGGCUUGCACCCAGACACGGUUUCGGCCGGGCCAGCAUCAAGUAGAACGGGGUUAAAAGACUUGGGGAAUGUAGCUACUUCGGUAGUGUUAUAGCCCUUGGUGAUGACCCCUGUUUUGCUUGAGGACAGCGGUCUCUAGGAUGCUGGCGCAAUGGUUGCAAGCCACCCGUCUUAACACCGGAACCAA
This 514-nucleotide ribosomal RNA is filed under the name Candidozyma auris. Its description in RNAcentral is "[Candida] auris partial large subunit ribosomal RNA". It matches the Rfam family "Eukaryotic large subunit ribosomal RNA", at positions 86 to 664 of the family's 3401-position model. The record is from RNAcentral. Lineage: Eukaryota; Fungi; Ascomycota; Pichiomycetes; Serinales; Metschnikowiaceae.